Molecule: ribosomal RNA, 429 nt
Filed under: Pseudomonadota bacterium
Lineage: Bacteria; Pseudomonadati; Pseudomonadota
Description: Proteobacteria bacterium partial 16S ribosomal RNA
Rfam family: Bacterial small subunit ribosomal RNA
Source: RNAcentral
UGGGGAAUAUUGGACAAUGGGCGAAAGCCUGAUCCAGCCAUGCCGCGUGUGUGAAGAAGGUCUUCGGAUUGUAAAGCACUUUAAGUUGGGAGGAAGGGCAGUAAGCGAAUACCUUGCUGUUUUGACGUUACCGACAGAAUAAGCACCGGCUAACUCUGUGCCAGCAGCCGCGGUAAUACAGAGGGUGCAAGAGUUAAUCGGAAUUACUGGGCGUAAAGCGCGCGUCGGUGGUUCGUUAAGUUGAAUGUGAAAGCCCCGGGCUCAACCUGGGAACUGCUUCAAAAACUGGCGGGCUGGAGUAGGGCAGAGGGUGGUGGAAUUUCCUGUGUAGCGGUGAAAUGCGUAGAUAUAGGAAGGAACACCAGUGGCGAAGGCGACCACCUGGGCUCAUACUGACACUGAGGUGCGAAAGCGUGGGGAGCAAACAGG